AUGGACGAAAGUCUGACGGAGCAACGCCGCGUGAGCGAUGAAGGCCUUCGGGUCGUAAAGCUCUGUUGUCAGGGAAGAACAAGUAUCGGAGUAACUGCCGGUACCUUGACGGUACCUGACCAGAAAGCCACGGCUAACUACGUGCCAGCAGCCGCGGUAAUACGUAGGUGGCAAGCGUUGUCCGGAAUUAUUGGGCGUAAAGCGCGCGCAGGCGGUUCCUUAAGUCUGAUGUGAAAGCCCCCGGCUCAACCGGGGAGGGUCAUUGGAAACUGGGGAACUUGAGUGCAGAAGAGGAGAGCGGAAUUCCACGUGUAGCGGUGAAAUGCGUAGAGAUGUGGAGGAACACCAGUGGCGAAGGCGGCUCUCUGGUCUGUAACUGACGCUGAGGCGCGAAAGCGUGGGGAGCGAACAGGAUUAGAUACCCUGGUAGUCCACGCCGUAAACGAUGAGUGCUAAGUGUUAGAGGGUUUCCGCCCUUUAGUGCUGCAGCAAACGCAUUAAGCACUCCGCCUGGGGAGUACGGCCGCAAGGCUGAAACUCAAAGGAAUUGACGGGGGCCCGCACAAGCGGUGGAGCAUGUGGUUUAAUUCGAAGCAACGCGAAGAACCUUACCAGGUCUUGACAUCCUCUGACAACCCUAGAGAUAGGGCGUUCCCCUUCGGGGGACAGAGUGACAGGUGGUGCAUGGUUGUCGUCAGCUCGUGUCGUGAGAUGUUGGGUUAAGUCCCGCAACGAGCGCAACCCUUGAUCUUAGUUGCCAGCAUUCAGUUGGGCACUCUAAGGUGACUGCCGGUGACAAACCGGAGGAAGGUGGGGAUGACGUCAAAUCAUCAUGCCCCUUAUGACCUGGGCUACACACGUGCUACAAUGGAUGGAACAAAGGGCAGCGAAGCCGCGAGGUGAAGCCAAUCCCAUAAAACCAUUCUCAGUUCGGAUUGCAGGCUGCAACUCGCCUGCAUGAAGCCGGAAUCGCUAGUAAUCGCGGAUCAGCAUGCCGCGGUGAAUACGUUCCCGGGCCUUGUACACACCGCCCGUCACACCACGAGAGUUUGUAACACCCGAAGUCGGUGG
Molecule: ribosomal RNA, 1071 nt
Filed under: Bacillus sp. OTB131
Lineage: Bacteria; Bacillati; Bacillota; Bacilli; Caryophanales; Bacillaceae
Description: bacterial SSU rRNA
Rfam family: Bacterial small subunit ribosomal RNA
Source: RNAcentral